Molecule: ribosomal RNA, 433 nt
Filed under: uncultured bacterium
Lineage: Bacteria
Description: partial 16S ribosomal RNA
Rfam family: Bacterial small subunit ribosomal RNA
Source: RNAcentral
AACGAACGCUGGCGGCAUGCCUAACACAUGCAAGUCGAACGAGACCUUCGGGUCUAGUGGCGCACGGGUGCGUAACGCGUGGGAACCUGCCCUUAGGUUCGGCAUAACUCCCCGAAAGGGGUGCUAAUACCGGAUAAUGUUUUCGGACCAAAGAUUUAUCGCCUUUGGAUGGGCCCGCGUUGGAUUAGCUAGUUGGUAGGGUAAAAGCCUACCAAGGCGACGAUCCAUAGCUGGUCUGAGAGGAUGAUCAGCCACACUGGGACUGAGACACGGCCCAGACUCCUACGGGAGGCAGCAGUGGGGAAUAUUGGACAAUGGGCGAAAGCCUGAUCCAGCAAUGCCGCGUGAGUGAUGAAGGCCUUAGGGUUGUAAAGCUCGUUUACCCGGGAUGAUAAUGACAGUACCGGGAGAAUAAGCUCCGGCUAACUCCGUG